GUGGGGAAUAUUGGACAAUGGGCGAAAGCCUGAUCCAGCCAUGCCGCGUGUGUGAAGAAGGUCUUCGGAUUGUAAAGCACUUUAAGUUGGGAGGAAGGGCAGUAAGUUAAUACCUUGCUGUUUUGACGUUACCGACAGAAUAAGCACCGGCUAACUUCGUGCCAGCAGCCGCGGUAAUACGAAGGGUGCAAGCGUUAAUCGGAAUUACUGGGCGUAAAGCGCGCGUAGGUGGUUUUGUAAGUUGGAGGUGAAAUCCCCGGGCGCAACCUGGGAACUGCCUCCAAAACUGCAUGACUAGAGUACGGUAGAGGGUAGUGGAAUUUCCUGUGUAGCGGUGAAAGGCGUAGAUAUAGGAAGGAACACCAGUGGCGAAGGCGACUACCUGGACUGAUACUGACACUGAGGUGCGAAAGCGUGGGGAGCAAACAGGAUUAGAAACCCGAGUAGUCC
This 450-nucleotide ribosomal RNA is filed under the name uncultured bacterium. RNAcentral describes it as "partial 16S ribosomal RNA". It matches the Rfam family "Bacterial small subunit ribosomal RNA", at positions 354 to 796 of the family's 1533-position model. The record is from RNAcentral.